GCUCCGCUGACGAGUGGCGAACGGGUGAGUAAUAUAUCGGAACGUACCAUUGAGUGGGGGAUAACGUAGCGAAAGUUGCGCUAAUACCGCAUAUUCUCUCCGGAGGAAAGCAGGGGACCGCAAGGCCUUGCGCUCAUUGAGCGGCCGAUAUCAAAUUAGCUAGUUGGUGGGGUAAAAGCUCACCAGGGCGACGAUCUGUACCGGGUCUGAGAGGAUGAUCCCCCACACUGGAACUGUAACCGGUCCAAACUCCUACGAAGGAAGCAGGGGGUUUUUUUGACAUUGGAGCACCCUGAUC
RNAcentral lists this ribosomal RNA (298 nucleotides) under uncultured bacterium. RNAcentral describes it as "partial 16S ribosomal RNA". It matches the Rfam family "Bacterial small subunit ribosomal RNA", at positions 82 to 388 of the family's 1533-position model. The record is from RNAcentral.